AAGUUCUCAAGGCGGUGAGGGGCAUUUUCAGAAGAGAGCUUCUUUCUAAUCAUCCGCUUUCACAACAUCCGCAAUUUUUUUGUAGAAUCAACAUCCGCUGCCCUACCGCCCAUAAAUUUUGGAAAAGGAUCCCGAAAGGGAUCCA
Molecule: non-coding RNA, 145 nt
Organism: Caenorhabditis elegans
Lineage: Eukaryota; Metazoa; Nematoda; Chromadorea; Rhabditida; Rhabditidae
Source: Ensembl